UACAGAGGGUGCAAGCGUUGUUCGGAAUUAUUGGGCGUAAAGGGCGCGUAGGCGGUUCGGCAAGUCUCUAGUGAAAUCUCUGGGCUCAACUCAGAGUCUGCUGGGGAAACUGCCGUGCUGGAGUGUGGGAGAGGUGAGUGGAAUUCCCGGUGUAGAGGUGAAAUUCGUAGAUAUCGGGAGGAACACCAGUGGCGAAGGCGGCGACCUGGACGGACACUGACGCUGAGACGCGAAAGCGUGGGGAGCAAACAGG
Molecule: ribosomal RNA, 253 nt
Filed under: uncultured prokaryote
Description: partial 16S ribosomal RNA
Rfam family: Bacterial small subunit ribosomal RNA
Source: RNAcentral